UACGUAGGGUGCAAGCAUUAAUCGGAUUUAUUGGGCGUAAAGGGCGCGUAGGCGGGAUGAUAAGUCAGAUGUGAAAGCCCGGGGCUCAACCAAGGAACCGCGAUCGAAACUGCUAGGCUAGAGUAUCGGAGGGGAUGGCGGAAUUCCCGGUGUAGAGGUGAAAUUCGUAGAUAUCGGGAGGAACACCUGUGGCGAAGGCGGCCAUCUGGAAGAUUACUGACGCUGAGACGCGAAAGCGUGGGGAGCAAACAGG
This 253-nucleotide ribosomal RNA is filed under the name uncultured prokaryote. RNAcentral's name for it is "partial 16S ribosomal RNA". It matches the Rfam family "Bacterial small subunit ribosomal RNA", at positions 524 to 776 of the family's 1533-position model. The record is from RNAcentral.